RNAcentral lists this long non-coding RNA (377 nucleotides) under Gossypium raimondii (Peruvian cotton). Its description in RNAcentral is "long non-coding RNA (GRAI_LNC003810)". The record is from RNAcentral. Lineage: Eukaryota; Viridiplantae; Streptophyta; Magnoliopsida; Malvales; Malvaceae.
ACCCUGUUCCCAAGUAAACCAUUUCCCAGAGAAACCCGGAUCAUGCAACUCACAAUUCGCCAAGGCAGAGAAAAAAUCCUCCAUUUGUCUCUCCCAGCGAACACGACCCUCUUUCUUCUCAAAAGCGUAAGCAAUCUCAUUAAAGUCACUAACGACCAUCCACAGCAAACCAUGGUCACGCCCCAACUGCUUAAGUAAGCGAGACGACUCUGUUGCGGAAGCGACGAUAAUAUUAAUAACAAUAUUAUCAGAAAUAUUUAGAUAAUUAUUAUGCCAACAAUUAUACUAAGAAAAUUCCCAGUUAAAUUGGAGGGGUCACAAUGGUCCCGCUUAAAACCCAACAACUAGACAGAACUCACUUAGAUAUUUAUAGCAAU